AAAAAAAAAAAAAAAAAAAAAAAAAAAAAAAGAAAUCUGCUGAUAGCCUUAUGAGGGUUCUCUUGUAUGUGAUGAGUCAUUUUUCUCUUGCUAAUUUCAAGAUUCUCUCUUUGUCUCUGACUUUUAACAUUUUUAUUUAACGUAUGUCAGAGUAAUCUUUGUUGUGUUGAUUUUGCUUAGGGGCUUUUGAACUUCCUAUAUGUGGAUGUUCAUAUCUGUCCCAAGAUUUGGGACGUUUUCAGCUAUUAUAUAUUUAAAUACGCUUUCUUCUCUUGAGACUACCAUGAUGUAAAUGUCUGUUCCUUGAUGGUGACCCAUAAUUCAUGUAAGCUUUCUUCACUUUUUUUUUUGCUUUUUUUUUAAGGGCUUCACCUGCAUCAUGUGGAAGUUCCCAAGCUAUGGGCUGAAUUGGAGCUGUAGCUCUUGGCCUAUACCACAGUCACAGCAACUCAGGAUCCAAGCCGCAUCUGUGACUUACACCACAGCUCAUGGCAAUGCUGGAUCCUUAAUCCACUGAACAGGACCAGGGAUCAAACCUACAUCCUCAUGGAUACUAGUUUGAUUCUUAACCCACUAAGCCACAGUGGGAACUUCAUCUUCACUUUUUUAUUCUUUUUUUUUCUUUUUCCCUCUAACUGACUAAUCUCAAAUAAUUUGUUUCUGAGUUUGAUUCCUUGUUAUACGUGAUCAAGUCUAUUGUUGAAGCUCUCUAUUGAAUUUUCUAGGUCUGUUGUAUUCUUCAGCUUCAAGACUUCUGUUUGCUUCUUUCUGUGGUGUCUAUUUCUUUAUAAAUCUUCUCAUUUUAUUUAUACAUCAUUUUACAGAUUUUGUAAACAACUCUCCUUAAGGUAGUGAUUCUCUCUCUCUCUCUCUCUCUCUCUCACACACACACACACACACACACACACACUGCCACUGGCCACAUACACAUUUUUAAGCCAGUGCCUAAACUAUUUUUUAAAGUUGGGUUGUACUAUUUGUGUCUGGGUGAGAUCUCUUGGAUAUUUCUCCAGAAGUAGAGCAUAUGAUUUGUGUUAAAAAUUAUAUAUUCUUCAGAACCACACACAAGCUAAUUAGAAAACCUUACCUUAAUGGCUGGGUCUAUCAUCCAUUUUACCUUGACAAAUAUUGACAGUUUCCUGAAGGCCAACCUUGUUCUUUCCAAGAUUUGUACAUAGCACCUUAUGGGAAAUGGGAGGCUUUAGUAAAUAUUAUUAAGGGUGGAGGUAAGUUAAGGCUAUGUCUUGGUCUUUUACAAUUAUCUUUCCAUUUACAUAUCUAACAAUUGGAAAAGACUAGUUUACAAUGGAAAAUUAAAAUCAAGGGUAAAAUUUUCAGUGAAAAUUUGUUUUACUGAACUAAAGGAUAAAACUCUGCGAUAAUAAAGACACAUAUUUCUUUUCUCUUAACACAGUUUCUCUUUCCAACUAUUUAUUUUGAAAACAUUUUAGACUUACACAAAAGUUUCAGCGAUUAUUGAGCGUCCCUGUUUAUCCUUCACUCACUUUCCUUUAAUAUUAACAUCUUACAUAACCAGGUAAAUGAUUGAAGUCAAAAAAUUUAACAUUAAUACAAUACUCUUAAAUGCCUACAGACCUUACUGAAAUUUCAUCACCUUUCCCACUAAUGUCCUUUUCCUGGUCUGGCAACCAACCCAAUGUUGCAUUCAGUUACCACGUUUCCUUAGUAUCUACAAGUCUAUGACACUUCCUAGGUCUUUCUUUAUCUAUCAUGAUCUUGAAACUUUUUAAAAUACUGGUCUGUUACUUUUUUAUAAUGUUCCUCAAUUUGGUUUUGCUUGUGGUUCUCUGAUAAUUAAAUUCACGUUUUGCAUUUUUGGCAAGAAAAAUCACAGAAAUGCUGUUUAGGUCUUUAAUCUGUAUUGAGUUUAUUUUGGUGUAUGAUGUUAAAGAAUGUUCUGAUUUCAUUCUUUUGCAUGUAGCUGUCCAGUUUUCUCAGCAUCACUUGUUGAAGAGACUCUUUUCUCCAUUUUACAUCUUUGCCUCCUUCGCCAUAGGUUAGUUGACCAUAAGUAUGUGGGUUUAUCUCUGGGCUUUAUUUCCUGUUUCAUUGAUCUAUAUCUCUUUUUUUAAUGCUAGUACCAUGCUGUUUUUAUGACUGUAGUUUUGUAGUAUACUCUGAAGCCUGGAAGUCUGAUUCCUCCAGUUCUGUUUUUCUUCUUCAAGAUUGCUUUGGCUAUUUGAGGUCUUUUGUGUUUCCACACAAAUUAAAACAAUUUUUUUUGGUUCUAGUUCUGUGAAAAAUGUCAUUGGUAAUUCGAUAGGGAUUGCAUUGAAUCUGUAGGUUGCCUUGGGUAGUAUAGUCACUUUGACAGUAUUGAUUCUUCCAAUCCAAGAGCAACUGUCAUGGAAUGCCUCCAGAUUUCUCACUUUCUUGCCAUCCCUCAGUAUGCAAAGCAAUACAUACUCCUUUCCCUGAAAAUUUUCAUUGUUGAGGAAAAAUUUGUAAGACUUUGAUCUGAGCAACAAAACCAACAAGGUUUUAUUGGGUCAUAUUCUAGAAUAUAAACACUUGUUUUAAGCCUGAAAUGAUUGGAUAGAAAUGACAAUUCAUAAAGUUUGGUUAUUUUUUCCCCCCUCAUAAUCCUGAGAAAGACAAAUAAAAUUUUUGUGCCAUGAGUAAGAGUUGUGAAGUGGUCAUCAGACUACAGUGUCUAUAGUUCCCAGAUUUGAUUUGUAUCAUAGAAUUUUCAGAGUUAUCUAGUUUAGCUUCUUUGUUUUACAAUGAGGAAAUUGUCCCAAUGUUUGGUAUACUGUUUUAUUUUUAUUUUUAUUUAUUUAUUUUUAUUGAAGUAUAUUGAUUUACAAUGUGUUGUUUCUGAUGUACAUACACGUGUGUGUGUGUAUAUGUAUAAAAUAUAUAAUGAGUUGUGUGUGUGUGUGUGUGUGUGUGUGUGUGUGUGUGUGUACACACAAUAUCUUCUUUAUCCAUUCAUUUGUAGUUAGACAUUUAAGUUGCUCCCAUGUCUUAGCUAUUGUAAAUAGCACUACUAUGAACUUACGUGUGCAUGUAUCUUUUUGAAUUAUUGUUUUGUCUUGAAUAAUGCCCAGGGGUGGGAUUGCUGCAUCCCACCCCUAAAAAUAGUAACUCUAUUUUUAGUUUCUUGAGGAACCACCAUACUGUCCUCCAUGGUGACUGUGCCAAUUUACAUUCACACCAACAGCAUAGGUGGCUUCUCUUGUAUUGUUGAUGCUAGUUAUUUGUUUAAUGAAUGAGUUAAAUGACGUGCCUUAGUUUCACAGAGGUACCGUCAGCACCAGAACUCAAUAGGACACUGACUUGGCACCCAUUUCUUUGUGCAGGUACACAUUAAUCCCUAGAGUUGAUGCCUGUGUUUUGGGGCAUCUAGUGUUACUGAAGAAGCCCCAGACAGAGAAAGCAACUCAAGGUAGGGAGUAUAUCUGAUUAUUUCUCUCCUGUCAGGACCACUCAUAGGACUGUAUGAAAAGUAAAUCAUUUGCUGGUGGGGUUUAGUAAACUUUUUAAACUAAUCUGCAUUGUGAAGCCUGAAAAUCAAGCAGAUAAUUUAUAAAAGUAGAAAGGUGAGCUGCUCUUGACUUUUCAUUGAGAAAAAUCUAUCAGAAACUAACCUUCAAGCUUAGAAUUGCAGUGGGGUUAGUGGAGAUGGGCACUGGGGAUCAAGGGAAAAAUGUAGACUUUGAAUACUCUUAACCCAAAUCCAGUUAUGCUUCCUUGAAACUCUCCCACUCUGUCCCGGUGAAUGUGGUCAGGCAAUGUAGAAGCCUGUAGGGAGAAUGUCAGUAUUCAGGUUUCCUUGGAAAGUGACUUUUAUGUUUCUCUUUGAAAAAUUAACAUGGUUAAAUUCAUUUGAGUAAUAAAAAAAAAGAAAAA
Molecule: long non-coding RNA, 3873 nt
Filed under: Sus scrofa (pig)
Lineage: Eukaryota; Metazoa; Chordata; Mammalia; Artiodactyla; Suidae
Description: lncRNA (ENSSSCG00035031447.1)
Source: RNAcentral